GCCGGUGUGAUGGAAUUGGUAGACGUGCCAGACUCAAAAUCUGGUGGGGAUCACACCCCGUGUCGGUUCGACCCCGACCACCGGCA
Molecule: transfer RNA, 86 nt
Filed under: bacterium
Lineage: Bacteria
Also listed under: 1 other name
Description: tRNA-Leu
Rfam family: tRNA
About the family: Transfer RNA (tRNA) molecules are approximately 80 nucleotides in length. Their secondary structure includes four short double-helical elements and three loops (D, anti-codon, and T loops).
Source: RNAcentral